AUGCUCACCAUACCUUUUUAUGGCAGUACUAAAUAUUGCAAAGUCUUUAAUGUGGCUAGUGGCACAUUUUUACAAAGGUCAUUUGGUGCUCCAAUUAAGUGCAAAAAGGAGGCAAAAGAAUUGAAACAGAAAAAGGGAAAAGGAAAAGGCGUAGCCGCUACUGUGCCACUGGACCUAAGUGCUACAGUGCACGAAGGCCUAGUCGACACCAGUUUUCUUCAACCUGUAGCAGGGAGGCAUCAUAGAGCACAUCCAUGGAUGCCAUGGCGCCGUGGCAUGCAUCCACGCCCCCCUCGCCCUACUUAG
Molecule: ribosomal RNA, 306 nt
Filed under: Triticum aestivum (bread wheat)
Lineage: Eukaryota; Viridiplantae; Streptophyta; Magnoliopsida; Poales; Poaceae
Description: partial small subunit ribosomal RNA
Source: RNAcentral